Molecule: ribosomal RNA, 253 nt
Filed under: uncultured bacterium
Lineage: Bacteria
Description: partial 16S ribosomal RNA
Rfam family: Bacterial small subunit ribosomal RNA
Source: RNAcentral
UACGGGGGGAGCGAACGUUGUUCGGAAUCACUGGGCGUAAAGGGCGUGUAGGCGGCUGAAUAAGUGGGAUGUUAAAUCCCCCGGCUCAACCGGGGACCUGCAUCUCAUACUGUUCAGCUCGAGCACAUCAGAGGAGACUGGAAUUCCUGGUGUAGCGGUGAAAUGCGCAGAUAUCAGGAGGAACACCGAUGGCGAAGGCAGGUCUCUGGGCAUUAACUGACGCUGAGGAGCGAAAGCAUGGGGAGCGAACAGG